GUUUUUGCAUUAGUUUGGAGAUUAUUAAAAUUGUCAAGAGUAUUAAAUACAGCUAUUCAUGAUGUGAACAUACAUUAAGAUUCGAAAUAAAUAUAAACUAUGUGAGAGUACUGUUUGACAAUAUGGAGAGGAUUCUGUAUGUGUACGUUUUAAUCAAUUCAUUGCUAGUUCUGACAGCUUUCAGUAAAUAUGUUAAUUUCAAAUUUGGAAGUGAAUAUGAAUAUAAAUUUCAUUUGGAUUCCAGUUUAAAUGAUGUUGGUCGAUUCAGUGUAAAUGCAAAGGUAAAUUCAGUUAUGUUUAAGUUAAUGUUCCCGUGUUAACAUAUCAAUUCUUCCUGGCAUUAAGUAAAUCAGAGAAUGACGUUUUUUCAAUUUGUCUAUGUUGCAUAUUUAAAUUCAGACUAACUGACUUUUAGACAGACAAGUAAAAGACGACUAAUCUAUCAAAUUUAGUUUUUUUUGCGAGCAAAAUAUGGCAUUCUGAAUUAUAUAAUUUUCUUGUUACUUUUUUUGAGGUGGGCUACAUGAUAUGAUAGUUUAUUCUCAUAAAACCAUGCAAAUACAAAGGUUACAGAGAAGUUAAAAAAAAUAAUAUACAUAAGAAUAAAAAUGCAUUAAAAAUGCAUAAAUUUAAAAAUUUCGGAUGAGAUAACAUAUUAAUGCCCGCGUCACACUGUCCCGAUUUUUAUAUACGAUGGGACACCGAAUGCGAAAUUUAAGUUCGUACGAAGUUGUCCCCAUCUCGUUAAAAUACAAAAGUGACCGAAGCAAGUACGAAUGAAUAACAAGUCUUUUACGAGAGUAAGUAAUAUACAUAGCAAAAGAUGGACAAAAGGUUAACCGAAGACGGUAUCUAAGCUUCAUAUCUCAGCCGAAGCCUACAAGAUGGAUCACGAAGGCUACACGAUGUUACGAUGAUGGCGCGAUGGCAUACGAUGUCAAAAGACUCGUGUACGCUACGAGCAUUUAAAUUAUAUGCCGAAGGCAUCACGCGUUUUUUAAAUUGUUUGAUCAUAUUGAAUAACAUUAUAUUGUACAUUAAUUUUGGUUUAUCAUAAUCAUAAGACGAAGACGUGGUAUUUCCAGUACUGACUAAUUUGGUUGAUUUAAAAAAUAGUUAGUAUCAAAUAUGCGUAUUCACCAUUUCUGCAUGUGUCAUAUACAAAUAGUGUCCAUAUUUGUCCCCAAUAUUCCUACGAGGAGGCCACGCUCGGCGUUGCCUUGUUUGAACUGUAAAUUUGCACUAGUCUGAAUAAUCACCCCUAAUUAUGCCCAUGUUUACAGAUCUAUCUUAAAGGUACGGCAAUGGGUUCGUUGAUCCCUUUUAUUCAAAAAGAGCUCUUUCCAGGAGAAUAUCAUAAUAAUAUAGACUAAAGGAAGGAUGUGGGGAAAGCAACAAAUGCGGCAAAAUAUGAAAUAGAAAACAAAAUGUUUAUGGAGUAAACAUUCGUGUGACAACAACUCAACGAUACAUUAAAAAAUCAAAUAAUGAAGAAAAGUGGUCCCUAUAUACGUGUACCUGCAGUUUGGAUACGAGGCGCGUUAUGAUUUUCAUAUGUUAUUUGAUAUGAAAAUUGACAAAAAAUAAUAUUUUAUUUGUAAAAGUAAAUCCUGACCUGUAUACUGCUCUCUUGUUCCAUUUGAAUUAAUAGAAACAACGCUGUCGCCUUUCUUGUUCUCAUAGAAUCAUAUGAUAUGAGCUCCAUGUUUUGUGAACGUCUUUCUUAACUGUCGUAUUAGACUGACCAGUGCAUAUCGCGCAUGGCACUUUAAAUGUAUUUAAGCGCGAAAAUUAACUUACAUUUAGCUGGAUUAAUUGCCGUCGUAGUUAACAUGUUAAAAAAUUUAGAACCCUUCCCGAAGUUGUCCCCGCAGGCUAGAAAAAGUGGCCGAUGGUUCUACGAUGGUUAAAGAUGGCACUACGAAUAGUCCGAUCUGGAUACGAUCAGUCCCGAUUUUGAAAAUUUCCAUAAUCGUGUUGCCAUCGGCGUAAAAAUCGGGACAGUGUGACGCGGGCAUAAAGAAUAUAUAUAAGUAUAUGUAUAAGUAUAUGUAUAUACUUAUAGUCAAAUGUAAAAGUUAAUAUUGUAUAAAAAAAUAUCAAAUUUCGUUUUCUUGCGAGCAAAAUAUGGCAUUCUGAAUUAUUAUAAUUUUCUUGUUACUUUUUUCAGGUGGGCUACACGAAUAUUGAUAAUACGGACGAAUUCCAGGAAAUUUUGCUCAGAAUAUAUACCUUCACAGUG
This 2242-nucleotide long non-coding RNA is filed under the name Mytilus galloprovincialis (Mediterranean mussel). Lineage: Eukaryota; Metazoa; Mollusca; Bivalvia; Mytilida; Mytilidae. The record is from RNAcentral.